Molecule: long non-coding RNA, 344 nt
Organism: Herpailurus yagouaroundi (jaguarundi)
Lineage: Eukaryota; Metazoa; Chordata; Mammalia; Carnivora; Felidae
Exons: 3
Source: RefSeq, a predicted model, not a curated record
CCGAAGAUGGUCCUCAAACCCCUAUGGCCGACCUGGUAAAGAUGGCUUUUAAAGUUUUUAAUGGCCGAGAGGAAGCUCAAGAACAAAGGCGAUAGGCCCGUCUCCAACAAAAGGGGACGACAGACUAGCAACGCCCCCACGUGGCGAGGCUUCACCCCGAUUGGACUCUGCCUUCCAACUGCUGGAGAUGGAGGAUGACGACUGACGAGGCCCAGACUCAGUAACUCCGGUGACCCACGCUGAGCCCAGGGUAAAACUCCAGGUAGCGGUUUCCCAGGUUGCAUUACACCAGAUGGUGGUCCGGCCAUAUUCCCGCAUUCCAACCUCAAACCCCACAUACCAUG